CAGUCGAGCGAAGCGCAUAGAUUUGAUUCUUCGGAUGAAGAUCUAUGCGACUGAGCGGCGGACGGGUGAGUAACGCGUGGGUAACCUGCCUUACACAGGGGGAUAACAGUUAGAAAUGACUGCUAAUACCGCAUAAGACCCCGGUACCGCAUGGUACAGAGGUAAAAACUGAGGUGGUGUAAGAUGGACCCGCGUCUGAUUAGGUAGUUGGUGAGGUAACGGCUCACCAAGCCGACGAUCAGUAGCCGGCCUGAGAGGGUGGACGGCCACAUUGGGACUGAGACACGGCCCAGACUCCUACGGAAGGCAGCAGUGGGGAAUAUUGCACAAUGGGGGAAACCCUGAUGCAGCGACGCCGCGUGAGCGAUGAAGUAUUUCGGUAUGUAAAGCUCUAUCAGCAGGGAAGAAAAUGACGGUACCUGACUAAGAAGCCCCGGCUAACUACGUGCCAGCAGCCGCGGUAAUACGUAGGGGGCAAGCGUUAUCCGGAUUUACUGGGUGUAAAGGGAGCAUAGACGGCAUGGCAAGCCAGAUGUGAAAUACCGGGGCUCAACCCCGGGACUGCAUUUGGAACUGUUAAGCUGGAGUGUCGGAGAGGCAGGCGGAAUUCCUAGUGUAGCGGUGAAAUGCGUAGAUAUUAGGAGGAACACCAGUGGCGAAGGCGGCCUGCUGGACGAUAACUGACGUUGAGGCUCGAAAGCGUGGGGAGCAAACAGGAUUAGAUACCCUGGUAGUCCACGCCGUAA
RNAcentral lists this ribosomal RNA (746 nucleotides) under uncultured bacterium. Its description in RNAcentral is "bacterial SSU rRNA". It matches the Rfam family "Bacterial small subunit ribosomal RNA", at positions 59 to 805 of the family's 1533-position model. The record is from RNAcentral.